RNAcentral lists this long non-coding RNA (3442 nucleotides) under Ananas comosus (pineapple). RNAcentral describes it as "long non-coding RNA (ACOM_LNC001239)". The record is from RNAcentral. Lineage: Eukaryota; Viridiplantae; Streptophyta; Magnoliopsida; Poales; Bromeliaceae.
AUAUAUACUUUUUUAAGAGAAAGGUAGGAUGUAGCUCACUUCAUUCUUUUUUUUUAAAAAAAUGUAUUAGUUGAAAAUAUGAAGCAAUUAGACUUUAAACUUAGGACCUCGAAUACCAACUAUCAAACCCAUCAAAUCCUUUACCACCUGCACUAGGGACAGUGGUCAAUUAUUUUGCAAGGAAUAACAUAAAAUGUAAUAAUUUGACCCACUAGCAAUAAUAACUUAUUAGACUCAAACCACCAAUACAAAAUACUUAAACCCAAUUAUUAUUAUUAAAGUCUAUUAUCAUACUCCGAAACUGACAAUUGGUGCCGCUCAAGCACGUGCAACAAAUCGUUGAACGGGCAAGAUUUCUCCUAUCCACACGAAGCGGAGCAUAUACCAAUUUGUACAAAUAUAUAUGAUAUGGAUAUGUGAAGCAUUAGAGUGUAAUACUACUAAAUUAAACCAUUACAAUCUCAAUUUUUUAAAGUUAUAGCAUCUUAAACCAUUCUAAAAUAUAACAAUUUUUAUUAUUCUUGUAAGGAUACACUAUAAACCUCUCACUUAGUCUAAACCACUCCACGACACUGUUGCUGUAGUAUUGCGCCUCACCGGUGGUGGUAGAAUCUAAAAAAGUGUAAACAACAUAGAGGUGAGAAUUUCAAAUAAAUUUUUUGUAUAUACAACCAUCGAAAGUGACGUUCUAUACUCACUCGGUUCAAAGAAGGCAUUACUAACAACUAAUAAUAAAUAAUAACUAUUACUAUAAUAGAAAUGUAAUAAGUACGAAAUAUCUACAAUGCCUCAAGUAUACACAAUAUGUUAUAAUGAGUUACUAGUGAAGUUACUCGCGCAUUGUGGCAGGCUAAUAUUAUAAAAAAGAUAAAAAAUUGAUGGAAGUAAUAUUUUUAAAAUUUUUUAAGUUGCAAUGAGACAUUAAUAAAUACAAAUAGUAUGAGAAAAAAAAGAAUGAAGAGAUAUUAUUUUACUCAUUUUUUCUUGUGAAAAUAAUUUGUUCAGAUGACAAUAGACUAUUUGAAUACAUUAAUUAAAAAAUUGAGCGAGUGAGAAGACAAAACAUCAGGCGGAAAUAGGAGUUGGGAAGGUGAAGCACCAUGGAAUGGAAAAGGGGGAGAAGCCAAGGGUGAAGGAGGAAUUAUCAUGUGGCAAAUCUAUGGAAAAUAAUAUAUAGGUAUAGAUUUUGUCAUUGACUACAUAGAUACCAAAUUUGUCUCAUGUCUUUAACCAAUCAUUUUUUUGUUUCAUUUCACACUGUGCAUUACGUGGAGUGUCGAGGUAAUCGAUAUCUCUCCAAUUGGUGGGCACUUAGUGUUAAGGGAGAUCGGCAUUACCAAGCACAGUAGUCACUUUGAGUCGAGGGCGAUCUACAUCUUCUAGUACUAUAUAGAGAGUCGAGGGUGGUCUAAUCUCCUUUUUUUACCAUUUUAGAAUGUCUCAACCUAUGUCAAUAUCACACUCUACGUUCAUGACUUUUAGAAUUGUUUACCAUGUCUAUUACACAUACACUUCUUUUCUAACUCAAGUUUAGCCUAAAAUGUACAUGUCAUUAUGCUCACACCUUAUAUUUAUAUCUAGGUUGAUUGCCACACUUAUUCAUCUAUAUUCCAAGAUCCUCAUAGUACCCUAAUUACAUAUUCAUAUACUUGUGCACUUAUACUUUUAUGUCUCACCAGUGUAGUAACCGCGCUAUACAAAUGUGUAGAUAAUUGGAGGAAAAUAAAAAAUGUUAAUGAGAUAUAUUUUGGCAAAUUCUUAAACAAAUACAUAAGAAUGUUUAAAAUUUCAUUAGCACAAAUUUGCAUUAGAACUUACAAUAGCACGGAAUCAAGGCAACAGCAAACAAACGUAAAACAACCUAUUCUAAAUGACCAUUACUUUCGUGAGAGCAAAAAUUACGUUAAUUAAAUAGAAAAAAUAGUUAAUGCGGGAUAAAUCUUCUUAGGAGCGUAGAGUUGCAUUAGGGCAUAUAGUCGCACGGAAGCAAGGCAACAACAAACAAACUGUAGAACAACUAUUUCAAAUCGCCGUCACUAUCUUGAGAAAAAAAAAACUGUGUUAAUUAAAAAGAAAAAAAGGUUAUUGUUGAAUAGGAUCACAGGCAAAUAAAAUCGAAAAAGAAAAAUAGUAAAAAAACUUUAUGACUUACAGUCGAAAAAGGAUUGGAUUAUCAGAUGUAGAGAAAAUGGAUGUUAGAGAUGUUAUUAUAUAGCUGAAUGGACAGUCGUAAGGGUAUAGGAAGCGACCUUGAAAAAUGCUUCGUUCAUGGUGGAUUAAUCCAGUACUGAAAAUAGCGUCGAAGGAAGAGGAAACGAUAAUGGAAGAAGUGGCAGGAAAGGAAGAAAUCCAUUGUGCCGUAAAUUCUAUUUGGAGGACGCUUCGAUUCCAGCACAAAAAACGACAACACAAAAGGAAACAACAAUGGAAAACGUGGCGAUAACAGAAGGUAUACCCAUCGUGCCCUAAGGACGCUUCGAUUCGACGAAGAAAGGUAACAACCGAAGGAAACAGAAGAGGAAAAAUAUAUCAGUGAUUCGGUCCUAUGCAAGAGGUGUGAACUGGUUCGAUUCAAGCAAAGAAAGAGGAAAACCCACUUCGUUUCAAGCAAAACAAAAGGAAAAUAUAUGGAGAACUUGAGCUAGUUCAGAGUGGAGCCACAUUCAAUAAUGAUCGGUUUAAGCAAAGAAAGAUAAAAAUAUAUGAAAUAGUUGGGCCGGUUUGGCCCAAUACAGCAUGUGUGACCAGAUCCGAUUCAAGCCGGUGUGACUAGGUCAAAGAGGAAAACCCAGUUUUGUUCAAAUAAAAAAAAGAGAAAAAUAUGUGGAGGACUUAGCCGGUUCGGGGUAGAGCCCACACUCAAUAACGAAAAGAAUGUUGUCACAUGGCAAAUUUAUGAGAAAUAAUAUGUGGGUAUAGAUAUUACAUUUAGUAUUUAAAAAGUUCAAAAACCCCAAUUUACUCUAAGUUAAAUAUUCAUAGAUCAUCUAGACCCACUAUAUCUUGUAGCAUGCAAUUAAAAUACAUUUAGUUUACUCGUUAUCCAUAAUACGUGCAUACAAUUAAAAAAAACUAUAGAAAAAUGGGAGAUCAAAAGCAUUUCGAUGAUAUUCCCAUACAUUUUUUUAGAUCUUUCUCAAGAUGCCCCUUGAUCUCUCAAGAAUAUCAAGAAAACCUUAAAAAUAGUUCUAAUAAUAUUAGAAUCUUAAAAAUCUUUUUUUGGAGAAAAACUCCCAAAACAAAAUCUAAAAAUACCAAUUCAUCUCUUCUUCUUCGAAUGGGAAAAGUAUAGAUUAAGGUGGUUGUCUUCUUCCUCCAAAUGCUUCUCCUUGAUGCCUUAAAUCUCAUCCAAACCUUCAAAGAGAUAGAUCCAAGAGAUCCUACAAGUGGACAAAGUUAGGGUUUUCCACUUUUAGAGAGAGAAAGAAGAGAGAGAUAGAGA